GAGUUUGAUCCUGGCUCAGAACGAACGCUGGCGGCAGGCCUAACACAUGCAAGUCGAGCGCGCCUUUCGGGGUGAGCGGCGGACGGGUUAGUAACGCGUGGGAAUAUACCCUUUGGUACGGAAUAGCCUCUGGAAACGGAGAGUAAUACCGUAUGAGCCCUUUGGGGGAAAGAUUUAUCGCCAAGGGAUUAGCCCGCGUUAGAUUAGGUAGUUGGUGGGGUAAUGGCCUACCAAGCCUACGAUCUAUAGCUGGUUUUAGAGGAUGAUCAGCAACACUGGGACUGAGACACGGCCCAGACUCCUACGGGAGGCAGCAGUGGGGAAUCUUGGACAAUGGGGGCAACCCUGAUCCAGCCAUGCCGCGUGAGUGAUGAAGGCCUUAGGGUCGUAAAGCUCUUUCGCCUGUGAAGAUAAUGACGGUAGCAGGUAAAGAAACCCCGGCUAACUCCGUGCCAGCAGCCGCGGUAAUACGGAGGGGGUUAGCGUUGUUCGGAAUUACUGGGCGUAAAGCGCACGUAGGCGGAUCGGAAAGUUGGGGGUGAAAUCCCGGGGCUCAACCCCGGAACUGCCUCCAAAACUAUCGGUCUAGAGUUCGAGAGAGGUGAGUGGAAUUCCGAGUGUAGAGGUGAAAUUCGUAGAUAUUCGGAGGAACACCAGUGGCGAAGGCGGCUCACUGGCUCGAUACUGACGCUGAGGUGCGAAAGUGUGGGGAGCAAACAGGAUUAGAUACCCUGGUAGUC
RNAcentral lists this ribosomal RNA (740 nucleotides) under uncultured marine bacterium. RNAcentral's name for it is "bacterial SSU rRNA". It matches the Rfam family "Bacterial small subunit ribosomal RNA", at positions 9 to 795 of the family's 1533-position model. The record is from RNAcentral.